This 492-nucleotide ribosomal RNA is filed under the name uncultured bacterium. RNAcentral describes it as "partial 16S ribosomal RNA". It matches the Rfam family "Bacterial small subunit ribosomal RNA", at positions 29 to 507 of the family's 1533-position model. The record is from RNAcentral.
AGUGAACGCUGGCGGUAGGCCUAACACAUGCAAGUCGAACGGCAGCACAGUAAGAGCUUGCUCUUACGGGUGGCGAGUGGCGGACGGGUGAGGAAUACAUCGGAAUCUACUUUUUCGUGGGGGAUAACGUAGGGAAACUUACGCUAAUACCGCAUACGCCCUACGGGUGAAAGCAGGGGAUCUUCGGACCUUGCGCGAUUGAAUGAGCCGAUGUCGGAUUAGCUAGUUGGCGGGGUAAAGGCCCACCAAGGCGACGAUCCGGAGCUGGUCUGAGAGGAUGAUCAGCCACACUGGAACUGAGACACGGUCCAGACUCCUACGGGAGGCAGCAGUGGGGAAUAUUGGACAAUGGGCGCAAGCCUGAUCCAGCCAUACCGCGUGGGUGAAGAAGGCCUUCGGGUUGUAAAGCCCUUUUGUUGGGAAAGAAAAGCAGCAGGUUAAUACCCCGCUGUUCUGACGGUACCCAAAGAAUAAGCACCGGCUAACUUCGUG